UGGGGAAUAUUGGACAAUGGGCGAAAGCCUGAUCCAGCCAUGCCGCGUGUGUGAAGAAGGUCUUCGGAUUGUAAAGCACUUUAAGUUGGGAGGAAGGGCAGUAAGCGAAUACCUUGCUGUUUUGACGUUACCGACAGAAUAAGCACCGGCUAACUCUGUGCCAGCAGCCGCGGUAAUACAGAGGGUGCAAGCGUUAAUCGGAAUUACUGGGCGUAAAGCGCGCGUAGGUGGUUCGUUAAGUUGAAUGUGAAAGCCCCGGGCUCAACCUGGGAACUGCAUCGAAAACUGGCGAGCUAGAGUAGGGCAGAGGGGGGUGGAAUUCCAUGUGUAGCGGUGAAAUGCGUAGAUAUGGGAAGGAACACCAGUGGCGAAGGCAACCACCUGGGCUCAUACUGACGCUGAGGUGCGAAAGCGUGGGGAGCAAACAGG
This 429-nucleotide ribosomal RNA is filed under the name Pseudomonadota bacterium. Its description in RNAcentral is "Proteobacteria bacterium partial 16S ribosomal RNA". It matches the Rfam family "Bacterial small subunit ribosomal RNA", at positions 355 to 776 of the family's 1533-position model. Lineage: Bacteria; Pseudomonadati; Pseudomonadota. The record is from RNAcentral.